RNAcentral lists this ribosomal RNA (207 nucleotides) under uncultured bacterium. RNAcentral's name for it is "partial 16S ribosomal RNA". It matches the Rfam family "Bacterial small subunit ribosomal RNA", at positions 568 to 774 of the family's 1533-position model. The record is from RNAcentral.
CGCGUAGGCGGCUUCACAAGUCGGGGGUGAAAUCCUAUGGCUCAACCAUAGGCCUGCCCUCGAAACUAUGGAGCUUGAGGCCGUGAGAGGAAAGCGGAAUUCCUGGUGUAUCGGUGAAAUGAGUUGAUAUCAGGAGGAACACCGGUGGCGAAGGCGGCUUUCUGGUGCGGUUCUGACGCUGAGGUGCGAAAGCAUGGGGAGCAAACG